AUGGGUAUAGCUCAGUGGUAGAGCGGGUGCUUAGCAUGCACAAGGUCCUGGGUUCAAUCUCCAGUACCUCUA
This 72-nucleotide transfer RNA is filed under the name Camelus bactrianus (Bactrian camel). It matches the Rfam family "tRNA". Rfam says of the family: Transfer RNA (tRNA) molecules are approximately 80 nucleotides in length. The record is from Rfam by way of RNAcentral. Lineage: Eukaryota; Metazoa; Chordata; Mammalia; Artiodactyla; Camelidae. RNAcentral also lists the same sequence under 2 other names.